This 234-nucleotide unclassified non-coding RNA is filed under the name fungal sp. Its description in RNAcentral is "partial contains small subunit ribosomal RNA, internal transcribed spacer 1, and 5.8S ribosomal RNA". The stretch from base 1 to 46 matches the Rfam family "Eukaryotic small subunit ribosomal RNA", at positions 1786 to 1831 of the family's 1831-position model. Lineage: Eukaryota; Fungi. The record is from RNAcentral.
AAGUCGUAACAAGGUUUCCGUAGGUGAACCUGCGGAAGGAUCAUUAUUGAAAACUUAGUUCAAUGGGGACGCCGUCAAGAGGAGGAAACUUCUCUCGGGUCCCUUGUGAUCUUAUCCACCCUUCGUGAACUGGACCCAAACAUUUUCUUUUUAAACGCUAAGAAACAUGUUGUGAAUGGGCUCGUAAUUGAAUAAACAAGUAAACAACUUUCAGCAACGGAUCUCUUGGCUCUC